GCCAGGCAGUGAUGUGCACCUGUAACCCCCGCUACUGGACAGGCAGAGGUGGGAGGUUCACUUGAACCCAGGAGUUGGAAGCCAGCCUGGGCAAUAAUGAGAAAACACAUCUCAA
Molecule: small RNA, 115 nt
Filed under: Marmota monax (woodchuck)
Lineage: Eukaryota; Metazoa; Chordata; Mammalia; Rodentia; Sciuridae
Source: RNAcentral